RNAcentral lists this ribosomal RNA (544 nucleotides) under uncultured Glomeromycotina. RNAcentral's name for it is "SSU rRNA". It matches the Rfam family "Eukaryotic small subunit ribosomal RNA", at positions 548 to 1098 of the family's 1831-position model. Lineage: Eukaryota; Fungi; Glomeromycota. The record is from RNAcentral.
UUGGAGGGCAAGUCUGGUGCCAGCAGCCGCGGUAAUUCCAGCUCCAAUAGCGUAUAUUAAAGUUGUUGCAGUUAAAAAGCUCGUAGUUGAAUUUCGGGGUUCUACCGUUGGUCGGGCUUUGUCUGUACUGGUGUGUAGAAUUUCUACCUUCUGGGGAACCAUCAUGCUAUUAAUUUAGCGUGGUGGGAAACCAGGACCUUUACCUUGAAAAAAUUAGUGUGUUCAAAGCAGGCUUAUGUCUGAAUACAUUAGCGUGGAAUAAUAGAAUAGGACGGUGGUCCUGUUUUGUUGGUUUCUGAAUCACCGUAAUGAUUAAUAGGGAUAGUUGGGGGCAUUAGUAUUCAAUUGUCAGAGGUGAAAUUCUUGGUUUUAUUGAAGACUAACUUCUGCGAAAGCAUUUGCCAAGGAUGUUUUCAUUAAUCAAGAACGAAAGUUAGGGGAUCGAAGACGAUCAGAUACCGUCGUAGUCUUAACCAUAAACUAUGCCGACUAGGGAUCGGAUGAUGUUAAUUUUUCUUGACUCGUUCGGCGCCUUACGGGAAAC